This 512-nucleotide ribosomal RNA is filed under the name uncultured bacterium. RNAcentral's name for it is "partial 16S ribosomal RNA". It matches the Rfam family "Bacterial small subunit ribosomal RNA", at positions 28 to 523 of the family's 1533-position model. The record is from RNAcentral.
GACGAACGCUGGCGGCGUGCCUAAUACAUGCAAGUCGAGCGGAACUGGGGGAGCUUGCUCCUUCCAGUUUAGCGGCGGACGGGUGAGUAACACGUGGGCAACCUGCCCUGCAGAUCGGGAUAACUCCGGGGAACCGGUGCUAAUACCGAAUAGGUUGGCGCCUCUCCUGAGGCGCUACGGAAAGACGGUUUCGGCUGUCACUGCAGGAUGGGCCCGCGGCGCAUUAGCUAGUUGGUGGGGUAACGGCCCACCAAGGCGACGAUGGGUAGCCGACCUGAGAGGGUGACCGGCCAGACUGGGACUGAGACACGGCCCAGACUCCUACGGGAGGCAGCAGUAGGGAAUCUUCCGCAAUGGACGCAAGUCUGACGGAGCAACGCCGCGUGAGUGACGAAGGUUUUCGGAUCGUAAAACUCUGUUGUGAGGGAAGAACACGUACCAACUAACUAUUGGUACCUUGACGGUACCUCACCAGAAAGCCACGGCUAACUACGUGCCAGCAGCCGCGGUAA